RNAcentral lists this ribosomal RNA (579 nucleotides) under uncultured eukaryote. RNAcentral's name for it is "eukaryotic LSU rRNA". The stretch from base 186 to 339 matches the Rfam family "5.8S ribosomal RNA". The record is from RNAcentral.
UCGUAACAAGGUCUCCGUUGGUGAACCAGCGGGGGGAUCAUUAUCGAGUUAUUCAACUCCCAAACCCUAUGUGAACUUACCACUUGUUGCUUCGGCGCGCGCUUCGGCGCCGCCGAGGACACUUAAACUCUUUGUUUUUAUAAGCAUUUCUGAGUGGCCGAAAGGCAAAAAUACAAAUGAAUCAAAACUUUCAACAACGGAUCUCUUGGUUCUGGCAUCGAUGAAGAACGCAGCGAAAUGCGAUAAGUAAUGUGAAUUGCAGAAUUCAGUGAAUCAUCGAAUCUUUGAACGCACAUUGCGCCCGCCAGCAUUCUGGCGGGCAUGCCUGUUCGAGCGUCAUUUCAACCCUCGAGCCCGACUCUUUUGAGGACGGCUCGGCGUUGGGGGACGGCAGACUCCCCCCGGCAUCUCGCCGGGGACGCCGCCCCCGAAAUCUAGUGGCGGCCCUCCGAGGCGACCUCUGCGUAGUAACUUGUUCUCGCACCGGAAAGCUCAGAGCGGCCACGCCGUAAAACCCCAACUUUUUUCAGGUUGACCUCGAAUCAGGUAGGACUACCCGCUGAACUUAAGCAUAUCAAU